GGGGGUGCUUUGGUUUCGACAGGGUUACCGAAGUGUUAGUUGCAAGCCGAGGUCUCAGACGAGGGCACUCGUAAAAAAGUCUGAAAAAAAAUAAGUGCUGACGAAAACUGCAAUAUGGGAUAGGAUUCUCGCAUGCCUGGGGCUAGAGUCCGAGAUUUACUAGGCUGGUCAAAGUCCGCGCCGACCUUCUUGGGCGUGGAUGAGACAAGAUCUUAAAUACGAAGGGAACGCUUGUAGGAACGUGCAUGGACGUGAUUUUGGACAGGGGUUCGACUCCCCUCACCUCCAU
This 289-nucleotide transfer-messenger RNA is filed under the name Fibrobacter succinogenes. It matches the Rfam family "transfer-messenger RNA". From Rfam's summary of the family: Bacterial tmRNA, also known as 10Sa RNA or SsrA, is named for its dual tRNA and mRNA-like properties. Its role is to liberate the mRNA from a stalled ribosome. To accomplish this part of the tmRNA is used as a reading frame that ends in a translation stop signal. Lineage: Bacteria; Pseudomonadati; Fibrobacterota; Fibrobacteria; Fibrobacterales; Fibrobacteraceae. The record is from RNAcentral.